Molecule: long non-coding RNA, 1008 nt
Filed under: Apteryx rowi (Okarito brown kiwi)
Lineage: Eukaryota; Metazoa; Chordata; Aves; Apterygiformes; Apterygidae
Description: lncRNA (ENSARWG00000015441.1)
Source: RNAcentral
AUGGCCCUCACAAGUUCAAAUGCAAAUGCGAGGCCAGGGCCACCUCAUGUAGCUGGAAGUAAGUUUUUCUGGACACUGCAGUUUCAAGUCCAUCCACUUCUCAGCUGUUGGAAGAAGCAUGCUAGAAGAUCCUACAGAACUGCUUCAUUGUCCAGAUGGGAGAAUUAUUGUUCUGAUGCCAGGGAGGAGAAAAGACCAUCCACUACAAUCUGUUCUCCUCCAUGUGACCUGAUACAGUGUGCAUGCCUGGUUGAGCCACUCUGUGCAUGCACAGCUGGUCCUUGAAAACCUCUGGAAGUUUGGGUUUCACUGCACAGAUCAACUAAGCAAUACAUGAACUCCCACAAGAACGUACAGAAGUAAAAUGAGUUUACCACGCAUGGUUGCACAGUUUAUGCAUCUAAGUACACACAGGAGAAGGGCAGUCUGGAGACAGUCCCACUGUAAAAUCAAAUUAUGAAGACCUGUCCCAGCUACUCCCCAGGUACAGAGCCUUACCUGUUGGCAGCAUAUGCACAUUAAACUCGACACGAUGUCAGCAAUUCUUGGCAUAGGACUGCUUUUGUUGCACAUGUGUAUUGCACAACCAGGGGCUUAAUUUCAAGCUUUAUUGCUGUAAUAUUUCAAAUUAUUCUGUAUUACUACAGUAUGAAAGAGAAUAUUGUUCUUUAUAGGUUCUUAUGGAUUGUAUACUUGACCUCCAUCCUGUUCCAGUUAGAUGCCUUUCUGAAGUUAUCUUUCUCCUUUUCUUUCAGCUUACUACAUUGUAUAGAUGGAAUUCUGUUCUAUCCCCUGGGAAUAAGAAUCAUCCCCUUCAUGAAGGUCUUAUUGCUGGAUUUCUGCUUUUCUUCAUCUGUAACUGGUCCCUUUUGACCAGUCAGCUAUCCAUUUAUCUUUUUGCUCUUUAGCACAAGCAAUCAUAUGGUGCAUGUGUGCUAAUUAAAAAAAAAUCUAAGAACAAACACCUGAAAGAAUAAACCAGGACAUACCUAAAGAAUGGAGAAUAUG